Long non-coding RNA from Mastomys coucha (southern multimammate mouse), 788 nucleotides. RefSeq lists it as uncharacterized. The record is from RefSeq and is a predicted model, not a curated record. NCBI's taxonomy places the organism in Eukaryota, Metazoa, Chordata, Mammalia, Rodentia, Muridae. The transcript has 3 exons.
GCGGGAGGGGGGCGAGCAAAUGUGUUACUGUCUGAUUAGUUCAGUGCAAACACCUUAUUAGCAUAUCCCCAGGGGAUGGGGGGAGAGCUGAAGGAGAGACGAGUCACUGCUAUCGCGCCUGAGCCAAGCUAUCGCGCCUGCGCCAAGCAACCGUCAAUGUUCUAGGAAACAAAAACUGAGGCCUAGUCUCCCAAACUGCCCGUUUGCAGCAAGUCUUGCAGUCAACCUGGCUCUGGAUGAAUCAAUCCUUUCAAUACUCAGCUGAAUACUAUAUGUUCGCUUUUGAUAUUAGAUUCAUAGAGCUCACCUGCAGAAUAAUGAUCUUGCAGAAGAAAAUAUUUACCAUGCCUGAUGAUGCAGAACAGUCUUCUUAGGUUGUCGAAUUUUUAAGCAAUAGAAGAUCCUUGAAUUAGGGCAAGCCCACAGUCUUCUUUUGUCGCAUCUUUAAGAAAUAGAAGAUCCUUGAAUUAGGGCAAACUCAGAGUUCUUUCAAGCAAAACAAGGACAGUGGAGAGCGAAAAGGAAGACAAUGGUAGACACUAAGAGCCUGCCUGAUUCAGCUACAUCCUUUCCAAGAACCUAAGGUAGCACUUUGGGAGAUCCUGUGCAGAUUGCUAUGUGUGCAUACUACCUACUGCAUUUGUAAAAAGAGUUUUUCUCUACUCAAAUAGAUGAUUUUGUCGAUUCUGAAAUGAAUUAUACAUGACAACAUACAUUGACAAACUUCUAUACUAUCCAGAGAAUAACUGUAGUAACAAUCAAUAAAGAAAGUAUUCGGAUCAAAUAAA